UCUCUCCCCUCAGUCUCUUCCCCCUCUCUCCCUACUGUCCCGUAGUCUCUCCCCUCAGUCUCUUCCCUCUCUCCCUACUGUCCCGUAGUCUCUCCCCUCAGUCUCUUCCCUCUCUCCCUACUGUCCCGUAGUCUCUCCCCCUCAUCUCUUCCCUCUCUCCCUACUGUCCCGUAGCACCCUAUUCCCUCAAUCUCUAUCCUUUACUUAUCCAUUCAACUCUCCAUGUUAUUCCCACCCUGUCACUCUCGUUAGGCAUGUCUCCCACCAAAGUACCUCACACUCUCAUCCCACCCGGACACUUCUGUUUUUGAUCCUUGCUUCUCUUGCAGCUAGACAUUUUCUGUCAUGCUGUAAUUUUUCUCAGAGCACAUAAAUGCACUACUACCGUCUCCACUCUGACGACUGUCAGUGUACACUCUAUCUCUGUGUCCUCUCAAAACAAGCAAACAAAUCAUGAGCCAGUUCGGCAAGCCAAACAUCCUGUCUGUGUGAAGUCGAUGGUGGAGACCAGGGGAGAAGGAUUCUCCUACCACGCUGAGGAUCAUGGGUAGUGUAGUUUGCCAGGUUCCUCCCCUUUGUCUCCUGUCUGGUGUGUCUCUGUCGUCUUACAUACGUGCACACCGGGAUGAUGAGGAGGAAGAGGAAGUGAUGACAUUGCUCUCCAGCUCUAUCCACCAUUUUGUGUAUUUAUUAUUAGUGAUGAUCGUUUUGUUGCUCACAAUGUUUAAAGAGGAAAAGUGUUUGUGGAAGAAAACAAUUAGACCAAUAUUUAUGUUGUAAAGAGGAAUAUAUACAUUUUGGGGGUUAUAUAUGAGAAUGCUGCUUUGAUGUUUUUGAUCCUGGGGUGUCAUAGGAUAGUAUGACCACGAGGUGGCGCAUGACUGGGCAGGCCCAGAGGAAUCUGUAUGGGCAUUGGGCAAUAGUCUGAAGUGGUUUCCUCACUUGUCUUCUUUCCUUCAUCUGCACUGAUAUGAAAGGAGUGGAGACAAGUGAAAAACAGCCAUAGCCGUAUUGCUUUCACCUAACCUGUUGUGUUGUUGUGUUAAAGGAGAGGAGACCAGGAGCGGGAUCUAUUUUAGACUAUUGAGAUGCACCUCCUGUCUGUCCCAGAUGUGUUUCCCUACUUCCUUUUUGGGGGGAAUUUAAAUUAUACAUAUUUUAAGUAUGAAUUAUUCCUUAUUUGAAUGUGCAUUGACUGUGUCAGAGCUAUGCGUUGUGUUUGUUUGUUAUUUUCUCUGUGUGAAAUCAAAGCUUUAAUGUGUCAGGAUUCUGGAAGUGAGUGAAGGGGCUCCGCGAGUUUGUCUGCCUGUUAGACCGUUGACCAGCACCCACACCUAUGACAGCCCCUGACCACUGGAGGGCGCCAAACUCCAGCCCUUCUAUACAGUCUGCUGUGCGGAGGCCCUCUGUUUUCAUACCUGUCCUGCAUUGGUCACAAUGUGACACACACACACACAGAUGAAAGUUGAAGGAGAGUAUGGCAAUAUCAGAGUGUAUUGUUUGGAUAGCUACAGUCCAACCGCUUAAGAAACAGGUUUAGUCCUACAUUCCACUAGACCUACAUUCCAUUCCAAUAUGUCUCUUGUCAAUCUGUCCCCAGUCAAUCAGUCAAUCAAAUGUAUUUAUAAAGCCCUUUUUACAUCAGCAGAUGUCACAAAGUGAUGUAGAGAAACCCAGACUAAAACCAUAAACAGCAAGCAUUCUCGUCUCACAACUGUGCAGAGUCUGGCGAGUGAGAUUACUCUGUCCCCAGCAGAAUAAAAUAUGUGGAAACUUGAGAUGAGUAUGAAUAAUGGCCAAGUGCUUACUUUAUAAGCCAUUACAUCAAUACUGUUGCUUUGCACUGUAACUUUGAUGACGAUAUUUCUAAAGCCUUGUGGGCAGGCGUGUACAGAGAAUAGGCCUACCUAGUACCCACACAUCCCAAUUUCAGUGUCAUCUUUAAGUACUGCUAUCUUAUUCCUGUGACACUGAAUAGAGAGACGCGAGUGUCACAGACUCUGAGGUUAUCAGUUUACUCUGUUUGGUGAUGUCCAGAGACAACUCCCUAGCUGCUAGGAAGUUGUGUAGAAUGCACACACUAAGGGGUAAGAGGCUAGGAGUUGUUUCUGGACAGGACACAUGUGUCACAAACCAAUUGUAACGUGUGAGAGGGAUAGGGUGUUGGUCAGGUCUUUAACCAGAGGGAGGCGCUGUUUCCCAGCAAAAUCAUCCUGGCUGCUGCCUAACACACCAGUGAACCCUCAUUCCAUAGGACUAAACAUUAUUAUUAUGACCUACUAACAAACUGUAUCAAAGAAUGUCUGAUUUAUUUAUAAAAUAUAUUGUUGAAAUAUCAAUGCAUUGCUCUUCUAUAGUACUGGGAUGAUGGAUAACGAAUAAAACGGAUUGAUGAAUGGAAACUUACUUUGUUUACCUUGGUUGUAUAUUGUGUUGAAGUGAAGAGUCCCAAAUGGUAAAUAAAUAAUGCUCUAUACCUUUAUUUUUUAUGAUUGGUUCAUAUCAGUUGCAUGGUAUGCUUGAGCCAAUCAUGAGACCCGAUGAUACUGACAAACAGGAAGUAGGAUGUAGAACUAGAAGCCUGCAUUGAAUAUGUUAGGUGAUUUUUGGAGUCAUGGGUAAC
Long non-coding RNA from Oncorhynchus tshawytscha (Chinook salmon), 2623 nucleotides. The record is from Ensembl. Lineage: Eukaryota; Metazoa; Chordata; Actinopteri; Salmoniformes; Salmonidae.